AGAAGUGGCAAUAAAAAGGUUUGAGAGGGCUGAUGGGAUUGGUAGUCUGCAUCAUCCUUUUACCACGGAGUUUGCAACUAUGGUGGGUUGUUUGCGGCAGAAGAAUCUGAUUCAGCUUCAUGGGUGGUGCUGUGAGCGUAAUGAGUUAGUCCUGGUGUACGAGUACAUUGCCCAACGGAAGCCUCAACAAAUGCCUUUGAGGAAGGGGACUGCUUCAUGUGCUUGUCACCAGAAGAUUCAAGUACCAAAAGCAGCCCUGAAAAUCGCUCCCAUGAAAGAAAAACAAAGAUAGUGGAGAUGGCUCUUGGGUUGGGAGGUUUAGCUGCAUAUGUUGUCUUCAUACUCGCAUUUGUUUUUGUCAUUUGCUUUGCGUGUGUGAAGCAGAGAAAGGUCACUGCCAACCGACACAGGGUUGUCGGGGAAGGGGCAUCAGCUAAGGUUUAUAAAGGGUCUUUGCCCUGAGGGAGAAGUGGCAGUGAAAAGGUUUGAGAGGGCUGAUGGGAUCUGUAGUCUGCGUAAUCCUUUUACCACAGAGUUUGCAUUUAUGGUGGGUUGUUUGCGGCAGAAGAAUCUGGUUCAGCUUCAUGGGUGGUGCUGUGAGGGUAAUGAGUUAGUCCUGGUGUACGAGUACAUUGCCCAACGGAAGCCUCAACAAAGUUCUCCACAAAAGCUUCAAUUCAGCAGUUGUCCUAUCCUGGAAGCAAAGACUUGAUAUAGUUCUCGGAGUCGCUUUUCCUCUUGCAUAUCUUCACGAGGAGUGUGAGAGGCAAAUAAUUCACAGAGAUGUUAAAACUUGCAACAUAAUGCUCGAUGCAGAUUUUAACGCCAAACUAGGGGAUUUUGGUCUAGCAGAAGAUUGAGCACAGUUCCAUCAUUGCAAGAGAAGCAACUAUACCAGCUGGAACAAUGGGAUAUCUUGCUCCGGAAUACGUUUAUUCAGGUGUUCCAACAGUAAAAACUGAUGUUUACAGCUUUGGUGUGGUGGUGUUAGAGGUAGCAAUGGGAAGAAAGCUGGUGGAGGAUGAUGGAACAGUGGUUUCUGAUUGGGUUUGAAGCAUGUGGGAAAAGGGAAAACUGAUUGAAGCUGCUGAUCUGAGGUUGAUGGGGAAGUUUGAUAUGGUAGAAAUGGCGAGGAUGCUGAUGACUGGGCUUGCUUGUGUGCACCCAAACCAUGUGAAGAGGGCAACGGUGAAGGAAGCUGCAACCAAGAAAACCAAGGGUAAGCCUUCGCCCCGUUUUCCUGAUGACCGUGAAGAAAUCCCGUUUUACUGUGGUGUUCGGCCAAGUCUCGAACUUGAUGAUGUACAAUAUUUGACUCCGAAGAGCCACUUGUAAGAAUAACUUACAUACAUAAUUAUCAACUAACACAUAGAAUCACAAUUAACCAGAGUCAAUACUAUCACACAAAAAUAGACACACAUCUGAGGAUGAAGAAGACAUGAUGCUUGAAAUAAAGAUAGUCUUCUACUGUCAUAAAACUGGAUGCUUUUGCUUUCAAUAGGACUCAGCACUCUAUCAAGCUUGUAUUUGGAGAGCAGGGACAAACCUUUUUAUAGUCACAUAAGACCUAUUGAUAUUCACCUAUUAGGAAAACAAUAGGUCUCUCAAUAAUUCAUCAUUAACUGCAAUAAGUCCACUACAUUAUUGUUUUGAAUGAUUCAUAUAACCUACUGUUACAAAACUCUAUUAACUUAAUCAAUACAGUUCUAUCAAAAUAAUGAUUAUGUCUACUCAAAUUCUUACAUUCUUCCACUUGAGUAUACAUAAUCACAUAGUAUUGAACUGUAUGAAAUUAAGUUAACAGUGAUCACUGAGUUUAUAUAACAAGAUUAUCAACUUAAACGUAGAUGUAAUCAACUAAAUCAAACCCAGAACUAUAGAAAUGUUGAUGCAUAUCAGCUGCAUCAUUACUCUAUAAUCACCGAAGCUUAACUCAACUAAUUACAAAGCUACAUGCCAAAUAAUGUAGUAUUGGAAGUGUCAUAUCUUAAUACUCCCACAUAAUUGGUCCAGACUUCAAGUUUACUAAAAAAAACUGGUUUAUUGCAGUAUCAACAAAUAUAGCUCUUUACAGAAUGAGCAAACAUUGAAUCACAACAUGAAAGGUUCACAAAAGAACUCAACAACGUUGGUAACGAAAUCCAACUUUUCUGUCAAUUUAGAAAUUAAUAAGAGAACAAGUAAAAUACGAUAUACUGUUUACAAAAUCAGGACCUCUUAUUACAACUUAUGAACAAAAUUUAAACCAAAUUUACUCUUAAAGUAUCAGCUACUAAGACUUCAAAUUUUCAACACAAAAUGUAAUCUCUUACUCCCACUAAUUAACACAGACAAAACUAUAUAUAAAUAAAUUAUUAUUAUUCCCACUGAUUAAGAGAGUAAAACAAAACUUUGUAAAUGUCUACAAAAUGAAACAGAUACCUUUCAAAUAAUCCCAUUAGCAAAACAUUAGUCAUGGGAUCUAAAACAUAAAAUUUGUGAGCUCAACAUCUUUAUUCUAGAUAUUUGUAGGGAAUAGACUCUUGUGACUGAAAAACUAUACAAAAUCAUUUGGUCAGUUUUGUUCAUCUAACAAUUGACAGAAAUAGAAAACAUUAACUAAAUGUUUUCUAUUGCAUCAAAAGCAUAUAAUUCUAGAAUCAUCUUUGGACAGAAACUUAUUAUAUUAGGUUUGCAUAGCUAAAACAUAAAAUACAAGGGCAAACGUAUAGAACUUUAACACUUUUGAGCAGAUGAAGUAUAUACCAUCUUGUCAAUUCCAUGAUUCACUAUGACCAUUAAAAGCAUACAAAAUUGAUGAGUGUGAAGCCCAUAAUAUAUUAUUUCUCCCACUUGGGCAUGCUUCACUAUGACCAUUAAAAGCAUACAAAAUUGAUGAGUGUGAAGCCCAUAAUACAUUUCUCCCACUAGGGCAAACACUCAAAAUUACAAGAUUAAACACUAGAGAAAGUGGUUUUCAUAUAACAAAAUAUAGUCUAGUUGAAUAAAUAAAGAUAGUAUACACAAUCCAUUAUAUAACAUAACAUGGCAAAUUUUUUACGAAGUUUGGAGUUAGAAAAAUCUAUCAAAAUUGUAAUCAAAUAGGACACGUUGCAAGGUAUGCAAAACUCCAUCAGCAUUUCCCAAGCUCUACCAAAAUUUCAGAUUUAAUCAUAAUUUAAAUAAAAUCAAUUUACAAUGUUUAAUAUGCUCAAAACACAAAAAUUUCUUAAAUAAAUUAGAGGUUCAUUUCAUUAGAUAAAUAACCUUUAAUAUGCCCAAAACUGUAAAAUUUCUUAAACAAAUUUGUUGAGUCACAAAAUAGUUGGUUUGGACAUAAUAAACCAAUCUAUAUGUAUCAAAAUUAGGCUUAUCUAAGGAACAAUAUCUCAACAUCAUUAAUCGAUAAAGGUGACAAGUGAUUAGAUAAACCAAUGGCUACUUUAAUCCAAUUUAGAACUCAUAGAAAAUUAAGGCAAAAGAUUGGCAAAUUUUCCUACUCAUUUUCGAUUCUGCAAGAUUCAUCAUGAAAGUAGUCGAGUUGUGGAGGAUCGAACCAACUCCAAAUUGCAUGAUUGUUACACCUUUAGGCAGAAACUAAUCAUGCAAAGCAAAUACUUGCAUAGUUAGUCAAAACAUAAAAUACACAAAAUACAUAUAGCUUCAACAGCUUUGGCCAGAUGAACAUAUGUUAAAAAAAAAUAUUUUACGAUUAGCUAUAAUACUAAUUUAUAAUUGGUGAGUGAUUUCCUGAAAUUCCUAUUGGGACAAAAGUAUUCACCAUAUAAAUUAGAAUUCUGAUUUUUCAAAAUAAUCUUUUACAACAAUAUUAAAUAACCGUUUUGUUGGAUAUUUAAUGAUUCUCAAAAGAUUCAAUCAGACAUAAAAGUAUGUCAUUGUUGACAUUGAACAAUAGAGUUAUCGAAAGAGGAAACAUGGUUAUUCAGUUAUUCGAUAGGGACCAAAAUGAUCAAUUAGUAAACUGAUGCCACUUUCCAAUUUUCUCUCAAAAGACAAUUAUCAUCAUAAUCAAAAUUGAUAACCAAACAAAACAUUGGUUUAAGCAAAACAAACCAAUACAUCUUUAAAUCAAAAUUUAAUCAAUGUUGUCUAAUAAGAGUCAUUAGUAUUAAGAAUUUGCAUUAAACAAGGCCAUAUUGGAACCAUAAACUAGUAUAAUAAUCGGUACCAAUAGAUGUGCACAAUAAGUGAAAACAAUAUCACAUAACAAAACUAGUUUUGAAGCACCAAAAUUCAGCAGUACUACUUCAGUUUGCAAAUUCACUAAAAAACUCAAUUCUCUUUAGAUUGUCAUGAAAAUUUUCAAGUAUGAACUAGACAUAUAUGACUACUAUUUUGCAAAAUUUCAUGAUUUUUAAAAUCUUAUAAGUGAGCCAAAAAUGAAUUCGGAAAGAGAGGUGCUGCAAAAACAGCAGAAAAUGGUAAGUACAUACCUAAGAUUACAAAUUCAUCAAAUAUUCAUUGUUCAUCCGAUAUGCAUCAGAAUUUUUUUCAGACAUAAAGUAAACAUAAAAACCUGUUAUUUCCCAAAAUUUCAUAAUUUUUGAGAUUUUACAAGUGUACUAAAAACAAAUUCGAAAUAAGUUGUGCUGCUGAAACAACAGAAAUUCUGCAAAACAUACCCGAGACUAAAUAAUUCACCAAACUUCAAUCUUCCUCCAAUGUGCACGAAAAUUUUCAGAAAUGAAGUAAGCAUAUAAAUUUACUGUCCCCAAAAAUUCCAUAAUUUGUUCGAUUUUACAAGUGGGCUAAAAAUAAAAUCGAAAUGGAAUGUGCUGCAGAAACUGCAUUAAUUCUGCAGUAUAGUCUCGAGAUUAAAAAUUCACUAAUAGUUCAUUUUCAAACCAAUGCUCGUGAAAAUUUCCAAAUUUGAAAUAAAUAUCUCAAUGUAUAUCAUACUAAAAUUCAUUGAAUUUAUCAAUUACAUAAAUAUAUCAAAAUAAUAUUACAAACACACUAUUCUGCAGAAGUCUGAAGAAUUCCAGCAACAUGGUAUCACACUUAAAAAUUUACCACAAAUCCAUUUCUUGUCCAAAAGACAUGAAAAUUUUGCAUGUAUAGAAUUCAUUAUAUACUUGAUACACAAAAUGCAAAUAGGUAACAAAAAUUCAUUCUUUUGGUGAUUCGACAAACAAGGUCUCCCUUUUCAUCAUAAAAGAAAAGGAUUUAGUCAUACAGACAACUUCGCUUAAAGUCUACAUCAGCAAAAUGUCCAAAUUUGGUAACCAUAUCAAAUUUCAAUGCAAAAGCCAAAAUUAUGGACCGAACUACAAUAUUUAAUCAUGCAAUCAAUAACCCGAUGUAGUUAAAAUAUAAGUUACUAUAGGCAGAAAAUCUAAACACUACCACUUCAAUUCUUCUCUUUAAUACAAGGGUAAUAGAUUCAUGAAAAAUAAUAGAAUAAGAGUGAGCGGAAGCAUGAAAAUCCCAGAAAAACAUAACAAUAGGAUUAUUUUAUAACGAUAAGAAAAUUUGAGAGGAUCCAUGUAUACACAAAAAUGAGGGAAAACAAGAAGACAAACCUCACAAACUCAUAACAAAAUUCCAUAUUAAUCCAUAGAAGGAUUUAUAUAUAAGUGUUUGAAAAUAAUCGAUAUCAUGUAAUUUAUUCAAAAGCAUGAUUCAAUUAAAUCAUACCCAUGUUUCCUAAUGGCGAGUGAUUCUCGCCGAAAGACUCCAAAAAUGACCAAAAUUUUAAACUUGACCAUUGACAACGUGAGUAGUGAUUGAAGAACGGCUUGCCCGUGACCAGUGUGUGAGAGAAAAAUUUGAAACACCAUGAGAAGCCAUAGUAAUUAUUAUUGUAAAUAGGAAUCCAAAAUUUCUAACAACAGUAAUGUUAAACCAGAAAACGAUUAACAACAUGUUUCGCUGGUUGAAGAAACAAAAGCUUAUAUCAAUAGUAACACCUUUGGGCAGAGACUGAGGAUAUAAUCAAAAGUUGCAUAACCAAAACAGAGAACACUUAAACAUAUAUAAAAUUCAACACCUUUGUGGUAGAUGAAAAAUAUACAAUCUAAAUAUUCCAUGCUUCAUUAUACACUGAUUCAUAGUUGGGCUAGACAAAUAAUUCCUUUGUGGAAAAAUGAAUCUAUCGAAUAACAUACAAACCACAAGUUGAAUUUCUAAGCAAUCUAAUAAGAAUACAAAUAAAUAAUCCACUUUGGUAGACAAUCUCAUUGUUUCUUAAAAGAUUAAAUCCAAGUCCAGGUUGUUGUCCUAAGAGACAAAAUUCAUCAUAAGCAAAAUUGAUGAAUUACAUAAUUGUUGAUUCAAACAAAAUAAUCAACAUGUUUCUUGUAUUUAAUAGAAUAAAACCAUACAAAAUCUCUAAUUUUAUAAUUUUCUUCAAUUAAAUGAUAAGAACUUGUUACUUCAAAUUAUUCCAGGAGAAAAAAAAAUAUUUCAUCCCAGAAUCAUCAAUAAACCAAGAAAAAUUAAAGUUAAUUGAAUUUGGGAAACAAAAGAAGUAUAUAUGCAAACAAUUGAGAAGUCGUAGCGUACCUUAUAUGAUUUAUUUUUGAGAAAUUGAGAAAAGAAAUCCAUAGUAUAAACAUGAUCAUGAUGCGGAAGCAAGAAAAACAGAAAGCCCAGGACAAGGAACGAAAAAACGAUGACGGAAGAAGACAGAUUUCUACCUUCCAUAGCAUAAAGUUUUCGAAUAGACUAAAAAGCUUAGGAUAAAAACCAAAACGUCAGUCUUUAAACCAAAAGCAUGCCGUUUUUAUGUGGUGGUGCGUUGAAGCUCUGAUACCACAUGUAAGAAUAACUUACAUACAUAAUUAUCAACUAACACAUAGAAUCAUUAUUAACCAGAGUCAAUAUAACUUACAUACAUAAUUAUUCAUGUAAGAAUAACUUACAUACAUAAUUAUCAACUAACACAUAGAAUCACAAUUAACCAGAGUCAAUACUAUCACACAAAAAUAGACACACAUCUGAGGAUGAAGAAGACAUGAUGCUUGAAAUAAAGAUAGUCUUCUACUGUCAUAAAACUGGAUGCUUUUGCUUUCAAUAGGACUCAGCACUCUAUCAAGCUUGUAUUUGGAGAGCAGGGACAAACCUUUUUAUAGUCACAUAAGACCUAUUGAUAUUCACCUAUUAGGAAAACAAUAGGUCUCUCAAUAAUUCAUCAUUAACUGCAAUAAGUCCACUACAUUAUUGUUUUGAAUGAUUCAUAUAACCUACUGUUACAAAACUCUAUUAACUUAAUCAAUACAGUUCUAUCAAAAUAAUGAUUAUGUCUACUCAAAUUCUUACACCACUUUGGCAAGGAUUAGUUGCUCGUAACAGAUCAAGUAACCUCAUAAUUAGAAGGAUUUCAGUGCAAUUUGUAAUAGAGAAACUAGGAGCUUGUUGUUGACUGGGAAACUUGAGGAACCCCUCAGGUGCUUCAGUUAAUUUGCAGAUUUUGUAGUCUGAAAUGUGUUUGAUGUCUUAUGGUAAUGAAAUGCUCAGUGUUUCCUUGUCUGUUUUAUCAUGAUUGACAUGGUCUCAAGCAUUUUGUUAUUAGCUGGCGGACUUAAUUAUUCAAAUGAUGUUCGGAAGAUUAAGUUUCGUGUUUCAUCCAAAUAUUCCUUUUGAAUUUUGUACCUGGUACAGCAGCUAGAUAGGAUUGGCAUGUUCUCAAAUUCACUGACUAGAUGUAUACUGAUAGGUUUGUCUGGUUUUUGCGGAAGGGCCCUUUGGAAACUGAACAGAAAAAGUAUUGCUGUUUCAGGACUGCACAACCAGUUUCCAUUAGUUAAAGAAACAAACUGAAACAAGUCAAUUCUUCCUUUCUAUAAAAAUUUGAAAUUCAAGUCCCUGGUAUUAACAUUAAAGGUGUUUUCAGAAAAUGAACCUCAAGAUUAGCAAUGACAUCAGGCAAGAUAAAUCACAUUGGUGAUCAGAAACUUGUGGUUCAUUCUUGUACAAGGAAGAAACAUAGAGGCCAACUGAACGGCGCGAGGAUAGUACUCGUACUUUAAGUCCGGCUCCUCCAAUUCUUCCCAAGCUUAUGAUGGGGACUGGUUUUACAGUGAACUGAAAUGAAAUUCAGAAAUGAAAAACUCUUUGUUAGUGUCAGAUGUCUCUGUUAGAUUUCUGUAUUAUAAUAUUUUAGAUUUUGUAAGGAAGAAGAAUUUGGAAUUGGAUUUGUUAUUGGCACAUUACAAGCUCACUAUCAAAUACUUAAUCAAUCUUCUUAGGGAAUUGUUAUUGGAACUCUAAAAAUCUCAUUUUACACUCUAAAUUUUCUAAAAGAAAAAUACACUUGUGAGUAGUGUAAAAUGAGAUUUUUUUAGUGCUAAUAACAGUUCCCUCUUCUUAAUGCAAUCAGCAAAAGUGUUUAUACAUCAACAUUCUUAUCCACUUUCCUUUCAAUAAAUAUGGCCAUCUUAAUAUAUAUAGCUUGUGGGAUUUGAGUCCAUUGACUAAAAUAUUUUUAAAGACAAUUAAGCUGAUGGGAUAAACCGACAGUGACUUACCUACAUUUAUUAUAAGAUGGUGACUAACAAUGCCUUUUGCAGAUUUGUUUUGUGUCUUUAAAGCCAGCACUUCUAGGUCCACUUAGAGUUGCCUCGUCACGAUAUUCACAUGUUCGUUCCAGGAUUUUGUGGUUGGUUGAGUUCUUCCAAAUCUUGCUUGUACAGCAAACGAGCCCCACACUUCUUCACAUAUUGCAAGUAUGCUUCUUCCAUUCUAUGACCAUAAGAGUAAGUGCCGAAGAAAAAGUUUUCACCACGACAAUCUCGACGAAGCAAAUAGAAUACCCAAAAGUGUUCUGACUCGAGAGACCUUAUUUCUUUGGUCAAAAUCUUAGUAUCAGCUAAACACUUAAUUUCGAAAUAAUUAUAAUGACGCUUAAGAUCUUGAAAAACAACACAAAAGGUAAUCCCCAGCCAGUUGGUACAUGAUGGUGGAGGAAGCUCCACAUCUAUUGAAUGUCCCGCACUCUGAUUACUGAACCACUCUGGAAUUUCACUUCCAGGGCAUACCAUACCUCUCAAAAAAUUUGAGAUUCCCUGUGGCUGAAGAAAGAUCAAUUAUUUAGAGAGAGAGAGAGAAGAGAGGGAGAGAGGGAGAGGGAGAGAGAGAGUACCUCUUGAUCAGUGGCAAAUUUUAGAAUCCUUGAGAGUAUCCAGCCUUCAUCUUGAACCAAUGCAAUGCAAUUCAGGCAAGUGAAAUUAAAAUCAUACAAAUUGGCAAAUCUGCUGUUCAACUUGGAUGGAUCUGACAAACUUCGCAAGGAAGUACAAUUGUCUACAUCUACAUGUAAUUUGCUAUUAGAUGGAAGAGGUGGCAAUUUUUGAAGGCUUUUGCACCUUUCCAGAUCAAGAUACGAAAGCUUAGAAAGGCAUCUAAUGCUUUCAGGUAGACUGACGAAAUUAUUUCCACUAAGAUCCAAUCUUUCCAGAAAGGACAAGCAGCCAAUAUCAUCGGGGAUAUCUCCUUCACGGAGUUUACAAUCUUUUAGAGAUAACUCUGUUAACUCUGUCAAAGAGCAUAAACUAUUUAGAGAAGACAACACCAAAUCCAAACAAGGAGGAUCAGGACGACUCUUUCCAAGUCCUAGUAAGCGGAGAAGGCCCCACCCCUCCCUUGCUUUAGCAUCCGAUCCGUUACAUAAGUUAUCCAUGUCUCUUGGGAGUUUGUCAAUUUUUGAGCAUCCUUGCAUUCGGAGUCUUCUAAGAGACUUCAAAUUACAAAUAGUCGUCGGAAGGUUCAAGAGAUAUGAGCAACCAACUAGACACAACUCCUGGAGGCCAACCAAAUGUCCAAUUGAUGAAGCUAUUUUCUCUAUCAGAGUCGCACUUAAGUCAAUCGAGGACACAUUCUUCAUCUGCUCCCCAAAUUCUGGAAUCUUUUUCACAUCUGAGUUGCUAAGACUUAAAGAUUCCAGAGAAUCCAUUUUAAGCUCACUUGGGAGGCUCUCAAGUUUUAAGUAGCAUUCAAAAUUCAAGUUCAAGUUUUUUAAGAUGUGCAAUAGACGGGUGUAUCUCAACUAAAUUGAAACAACCUCGAAGAUUCAACUUCACAAGAUUUGGAACACCACUGAAAUCCGGGUACUCUUCAAUUUACCUGAGUUUCUAAGAUCGAUCCAUCUCAAGUUGGGCAAGUCCUGUACAACAUCGAUAAGAUUCAGAUCAUAUAAAUAAAUAAAUAAAUGAUUAUUUUGUAUAUUAAAUAGCAUUUAUUCAAGGAUGAAUAAUAAUUAUGUACUCACUAGUGAGUACUCUAUAUGCUCAUUUUUGUUUUGGUUCUUGUUCUUUAUUUUUAAAGCCCAAGAAAAAUUAAAUAGCAUGUCCAUUAUUUUUGAAAAUAAUAAAAUAUACUUGUCCAAAAAGUGAGUACUGAUUAGUCACUACCCAAGUGGUAUCAUUUUAUUCAACACUACUCUCAUCACUUUUUUUUUUUUUUAAUGGUAAAAAUACUACUCUUACCACUUUUCCCUCCCAUAACCGAACAAGACUGCUUCCAUACAUGUGAAGUUCAGUAAGGUGGCGCAUGGGAAAGUUGGUUGGAAGAAAAUUAGAAGGAUAUUGAAACCAGUAUAUAUAUCUCAAUGAACACGGAAGAAAUUUAGGGCCUGAAGAAAAGAAAACUUGAUCGAUUGUCAAAAUCCUCAAUCUAUCCAUCUUAGAGAAGGCUUCCCAAUUCCACUCGCGUUUCACAUAUGUUAUAGGCAUGUGUAAUGAUAUGACUUCAAUUGCACUCAAACCCUGACAAUUAAGAAAAAAAGACAAAUUAAUUUCACAUUCAAGUAUAUUAGUGUCAAAAGUUCAUUCAAACUUGGUAUUUUACUUCUUACCAUAUUGGUCGCCAUAUUGGUCGUGAAUACAUGAGAAAUGUCAUCGUUAAGCCACAACCUACUGCGUAGACCAGACUCUUUAGACCUGUGACCAAUAAUUGUCCAUGCCAUUUCUUCUAUCAAAUCAUGCAUCCGUAUGCAUUUUUGGUGAUCUUGAUAGAGGAGAAAUCUCUCAAUUAGUACAUCUAUCACAAUAUGGCUAGAGAUUCCAAAAGAAUUAGAACUAUCUAGACUUUCAAUUACUUGCUUCCUGUAAUACCCUUUGUAGAAACAUGCAACAUCGAGAAAAUGCUCUUCUCCCACUCUUCUAGUGCAUCAUAACUUACUUUAAGUUUAUCAAAAAUAGCUGGAUUAGGAAUUUUUGAUAGAUUAUCCCGUACACUAUGCCAAGCAUCUAGCCCUCUCUUAAACAAAGCCGACCCCAAAGUUUCAAGAGCUAAUGGAAGGCCUCCAGCAUGAUUGUCAUAACAUUCAUCAUAAUUAUCAAUCACAUUAUUAAAAAGAUAGUUAAACACACACACACACACACACACACAUAUAUAUAUAUAUAUAUCACAAUCUUCAUCAGUGCACGAGCCAAAUCCUAUUUAAUAAGCAUAUGAUGGCUAUAUAUAUAUAAAUCACAUUUCAAUAAAAAUCAUAUUUAUAAGACUAAUUCAUAUUCACAAUUGAUACCAAAUAAGAAAUUCAGAUAAUAAACAUAUCUCAUAUAUUCAAGUCACUAUCUAACUAACAUAGGUCCACUGGUCACGCACCGUCGCAUGAGCCGCUGCGGGUGGCGGUUGACUGCCCCGACUCACCGGAAAAAUUCAACUAUCUUUAAAAAUUACCAAAAAUUACAUAAAUGAAGAUCUCAAGGAGUAGAGCAAACUUUAUACCUGUGGCCAAGUCUAAUUUGGCCGGGAAGGCCCUCAAAUUGGCUCGCACCCGUCGAAACCCUAAAGUGGGUGUUCUUCAAUUUGGCUCCCUUGGUGUUCCAACGCCCCAACCACCAAUUGGGUCUUGUUCUUGGGUCCAAGGGAAGUUGAUUAAGGGUGAUGGUGAAUGGUGAUACUCACCAGAAUGACGAAUCGCCGUCAAGAACCCCCGGUUUUUCGGUGGAGUUCUACUCGAAUUAGACCUUAAAAACCCUUGAUUUUUGGUGGAGAUGGAAGGAGGAAGGUAGCUGAGUAGGUUGCAGGUGAUGAAUGGGUGCAAAACGCCUAAAAAAUGAAGGAUUUUGGCCUGACAUUGGCUGGAUCGAAACCAUUUUUUUCAUGGGUGCUUGGGUUUACAAAUUUGGGGGGGGGGGGGGGGGAGGGGCAUCCUUUCGCUCAUUUUCUUUUCUUCUCUUGCCACUCCCGUGGCUUUCUUUUUUUUUUUUUUUUUUUUUUUAAAGCAACACAACUUCAUACGUCCGUAACUAUACUGUUAUAAUCCGGACUCGCAAACGGUUUUCGCCUAUGCGUUCAUGACUUCAAGACCUAUUCGAAAACGUUACUUGUGACCUCGAAAAGUCAACGAGUAAAUAAUAAUUUUCCAAACUUCGCUCUUCAUAACUAGUUUAAUUGAAAUCUAAUUUCAAAUAAAUUAAUAUAAAUUCUCGAAAAAAUAAUAUAAAUCUCAAUAAUACAAAUACGUAGAUUAUAACAGUAAAAUCCAAGAAUGGGAUUUCACGUCUUUACCGUUAGAGACACCGUUAUAUCUUGGAGAUCUACCAAGCAAACGCUAGUUGUGACUUUGUCGAACUAUGCUGAGAUUUUCGCCCUGCAUGAAGCAUCGCGUGAGUGCUUUUGGUUGAGAGAAGUCAUGGGACAUAUUUGAAGCAUUAGUGGUCUUACAUCAGUCGUUGACCCUCCUACGACGAUCUUUGAAGACAAUGCAACAUGUAUCGAGCAGUUAAAGAAGGGAUACAUCAAGGGAGACAACACCAAGCACAUAACGUCGAAGUUCUUUUACUCACACCAACAGCAGCAGCAGCAUCAAAACAUUGAAGUCAAGCAAAUCCGUUCCCAGGAGGAUAACUUGGUCAAUCUCUUCACCAAGUCAUUGCCCAAGUUUACUUUUCAAAAGCUUGUCCAAGGAAUCAUUAUGCGUAAAUUAUCUGAGUUAAAUCGCAUGUAGUUCUCUUAUUUAGAAGUUAUGGCUAGCUCAGGGGGAGUAUCUAGAAGCAUACUUACAUGAUCUUAAUGUACUCUUUUUCCUACGAUUAGGAGCAUUUUUUUCCACUGGGUCUUUGCUACCUAACGAGGUUUUAACGAGGCACCCAUCCUGGGAUGAUCAUACUCCGUUGAGUUCACUACUUUCGUCCUGUUUGACAUUUGUUUUAGAUAUUAUGCAUACUUCUCACCUUUCUCCUUAAUCUAUGGGUUUUCCUCGUGCCUUGGGUAUUACCAUAGUUAGGUUUUGUGAGUUUUACUACAAAUGCAUACUUCCUUAAACUUGAGACUCGCGAUCACCCGUUGUGCCAAUGACUUCAUCAACAAUUCUACCUUAUCGCUGAAUAUCUAAUGCGAUGUUUGUUGAGUAUUUACACACUCAAGGGGGAGUGUUGCAGUCAUAUUUAGAAUAAGAAUGUGAUUGUGUAAAUCCUUAUAGUUAUGGGAAUGUAUCUUAUAUUCCUAUUAAUUAUGAGUUUAUUAUCUAUUAAAUGUUGUAAUCAUAAAAGGAAAGGUUUACCUAUUCUACUACUAUAAAUAAAGGCACAAUGAGGUAAAUUAAACACACCUCACAAUUAAAUCACUCUCUCUUCUCCCUCACUACCUCCGGCCCAUCUCUCUUUCUAAACCCUAAGAUCGUUCAAUCAAAUAGGCCUACAACAAAAACUAGUUUCUUGAGCUUUCAAAAUUUGUAUUUUGAGCUUUAAUUUUAGUUUCUAAUCAACACCAUGACACAAGCCAUAAAGUAACAAAACCAAUAAAAUGUCAACUGAAAACGUUAUAUGUGAAAAAGAACAAUGAAUUACAUGAAAUGAAAACGUCAAAGUAGGCAUGUAGUCAACCUAUGUUGUCACGCCACAAAUUAAAGUACAAUGCGAGCUGGUGACAAAUUUGAGCCACACCGCGGUAAUUCAUGCAAUGUAAAUCUCUCUCAAAGAAGCAACAAGAAAAUCCUCAUGCAAGAGUUCUCCACUUUCUUACUCGUUCAAGAGGAAAGCUGAAAGGACAAGUAUUUUCCAAAAAAAAAAAAAAAAAAGGUGGAAGACAGACUAUGGAAAUUUUCCAGGAAGCAAGAGUUUAGAGUAAGUUCUCAACUUUCUUCUGAGAAAAGAUAUUCAUGUCUCUUUUUCUUUUCUCUUCAGUGAUGCUAAAGCCAACUAGUUAUCUUAUUUCUACAGCCACUUUCCAAUACUUGUUCCAAAGAUUUUCCACAAAAAAAAGUAGAAGACUGACUACAAGGAAAAUAUUUAUGUCACCCACCAUGAAAUUUGUAUAUAGGUUUUUUUCACACAUCUGUUCAUUAGGUCCACUAACAAUGUUGAAGUCAUUGUGGAAUAUGCUGAGAUUUCCCCUGUCAUUUAGACAAACCUUCUCAUGGUUACACCCUACCCCCAGCAAUUGGCAAUAUCAAAUCUGAUAAAACUAGUCAAACAAAUGACAAGCCUUCAAUGCAAGCUGCAAUGUAAGAGUUGAGUUGAAAUGAUCCAUACAUCAAAUAAAAUGAUCAUUCAUAAGAAUCAUGAAACCUAGGCUAAGUUCCAUGGGCUCUUAAGGUCCCUCAUCAAAACAUAGAAUAACCACUGCAUUUGGAUGAUGGUAUUUAAAGUUCCAUGAAAACAAGGCUACACCUUCAGAAACGCACUACAAAAAAAUAGAUAGAGGGGCUUCAAAAUGACUAGAUGCAAACAUUUGAGAGAAAUUUCAAAUGAUACCUUGAAAGUCCUUUGUUGCGUGUCAUUCUACUGCACUACUUGUGUUUUAGUAGUAACUUUGUAGUGCUUUAGUAUAGUUUAUCAGUAGUGUUCUUGUAGUGCAUCUUUAACAAUUAAGUCUAAAGUUUGUCCCUCAUUCAAAGACAUAACAAAACACCACAACUCUAAGUUAUAUACAAAAAACACUUCAAGAGCUCAAUGAAGAAAAAAAAACUUGUCUAUCCACUUGUCAUGCUCUAAUUGAUUCUUAGUUGGAAAAUCCUUCUCCAUCAUCAAGUAAGUUGGUUUUUUUUUUCUUUUCUUUUUUAACUAUUGGGUUUGAAGUGGUUUUCUCUAAAGAUCAAGUAUCGUCAUCUUCCAGGAGAAUCUACUCACUAAAUUCGUUAUCUCUUAUAAGAAGUAAUGCUAGGAAGACAAAAUUUAUAGACUAUAAUUGCAAACUAAAUGAUGUGUCACUAAUAAGAAAUGAGCAUGUUUAUCAACGUUUAAGUAAUAAUUCAAUCAUCAACUUCCAUGUCAUUUAGUUUACAAAACUUAGUCUACAAAUUUAGUCUUUCUAACAUUACUCAUCUUUAAGUUAGGAAAUGAACGAAUUAGUUUUAAAAUGAAAGCGAAAUAUGGUACAACAGAGUUUACAUAGUUUCUACUUCUUUAUACGUACACCAGUUUCUACUUCUUUACACAGUCAAAAUCAAUAAAAUUAACAUAACGAACCGUCGAUGAAUGCCCCGUCACUAAAACGCAGCAUAACAUAUGUCAUAUCUACUGCUUUCCUAGUAAAACCGACAUCUUUAUGGCCACAAACUUACAUGAAUCAACUUCAUGAAAUCUAAUUUCUGAUGAUCAAUAGAAUUCAAUUGUUAUGUAUGUGAUAUCGGCAGGGUUGGAUCAACCGGAGCUUGAAUUUUUCGUUAAGAUCGAACAUAACUGAUUUUUCUGAUUUGCAGUGCCCUUUUAUUAAUGGCAGAACUGAUUCUAUUGUCUAAACCCCUUUGUCUAAAGUAUUGUAAUGAGCAGCCACGGGUACGACACUAUCUUCAAGUGGUGAUAAUCUUUACCACCUUAUUUAGCCAUUUUGGAGAAAAAGUAUUUGAAAAUUAAAAAAAAAAAACAAAUAAAGGAUGAGGUGAAAUUGGCCAGCUCAAUAAUUUUCUUCCCUUUUUUUGAAGCGCAUUCCGGAAACUUACUAAAAAUUUGGGUAAAUUUAUAGACAAGAAACAGUAAUGCAACUUGGCACAAAUAGCAGGAUUUCAAAAACCAAAAGCUGAAUUACUCACUACAAUCCAAUGUCUUCAGGAUUUUAGCAAUUAAUUAUGUCACUAAAUUAAUUGAGCUAUUUCCACGGAGGCUCUACGAAUUAUAAAUUAAUCGGACAUUGUACAAUUACAAAAGGAGCCACCAUGCGCCUCAGAUAGUGUUAUUUGAGAUAGAAUCUAUUAUACUUUGAUUGGUGAAGACAAUGAAAUAACGGAAUAUGUGAAUUGAAAAUGAAUUGAACAUAUGACUCAUUAUCUCUUAGUUCAAGAAGAGACCUGAAAACCUUAGUGACCCAUGUACCACCUUACAACCGUAGAAAAGAAAAACAAUCGUACGGGACAAAGACAAUACACAAUUCUAGAUAUUUCAGUAAUCAAAACAUAAGUUUCUGUGCAAGAGGUAACCUUUUAUAGUCCUUUUGAAUCAUGUGCCCUGCUUCAGUUCCCUUACCAAACUGGAUAAAAGUCUUAUCCAAGGCAAUCCCUCCUAAUCCUGUGUUACAAACGGGUCCAAAAUACUCCAUCCAAGUUCUGCCCAUCACCCAAACAAGCAGGCCCAGUUCUUGUGCGACAUAGCUAACUUUUUACUUGGGACCUAAAAUUGGGUUUCAGUCGAUCAGUCAAAUGGGGCAAUUUUCCCUAUCAAGUCGCUCCGUCUCCCAGUCCCUCUCUCUCAUUUAUUCGACUGGUUGAAGCUUUCAAGUAUCAAGAUUGGCAGAAGCAUCCGCAGAAAUCCAGAUGGGAAGAAAAUCCUGGUACUACUCUAUCACUGCUUCUCUACAAUUUUCCCGGAAAGUUUCUGCAUUUGGGUUUACAGCAAUGCAUUCAUCUCGUCCAUUUCUCUUCUGUGUCCUUUUCUUUUUCGUCUCCAACCUCAGUUUCCCUUCGCUUUCUGUCCCGUUCUUGCCUGCGACGAACAAUAACCUCACCCUCUUAGGCGACGCUUCCAUCACCAACAACGCCAUUAGUCUCACUAAAGAACUCACCACAUGCCCCUCCUCUUUCCCUUCUGCUUCUUCUGGCGUUGGAAGAGCAUUUUACGCCUACCCAAUUCGGUUUCUUGACUUGAAAACCAACGCCACUGCCUCUUUCUUGUGCCGAUUCUCUUUCUCAAUCACUCCAAGUUCCCAAUUGUGUUCUUCUGGAGAUGGCAUUGCGUUUGUGAUCACCCCCGAUGUUGAUUCUCUGGGAUCAUCCAGAGGUGGAGUAUAUGGGACUUCUGGAGCCAUCCUCAGUGUCAAAAGAAUAGUUCUUCGCCAUGGAAUUCGAUCCUAGGUUUGAUCCUAUGGUUGGUGACACCAAUGGUAACCACAUUGGUAUUUAUGUGAACACGGUUGUGUCUGUUGACUGUGUUGAUGUUGUGUCAAGAGGAUUUGAUUUGACAAGUGGGAGGGAGAUUACUCCUUGGAUUGAGUACAGAUGCUGUCAAGCUGAUUCGGGUUUGGGUUGGAUACUCUUGAACUAGGCCUCCAACGUCUCUGCUUAAUGCUCCGAUUGACCUCUUCAACCAGUUCAUGGGUGUCGGUUUCUCUGCCUCGAAUGGGCAGGGCUCUUCAAUUCAUAUUGUUGAUAGGUGGAGAUUCAAGACUUUCAGGUCUCUUCCACCUGGGAUUCUUACAGAUACCUUUGAGGAAGGGGACUGCUUCAUGUGCUCGUCACCAGAAGAUUCAAGUACCAAAAGCAGCCCUGAAAAUCGCUGCCAUGAAAGGAAAACAAAGACAGUGGAGAUGGCUCUUGGGUUGGGAGGUUUAGCUACAUAUGUUGUCUCCAUACUCACGUUUGUUUUUGUCAUUUGUUUUGUGUGUGUGAAGAAGAGAAGGGUCGCAUCAGCUAAGGUUUGUAAAGGGUCUUUGCCCUCUGAGGGAGAAGUGGCAGUGAAAAGGUUUGAGAGGGCUGAUGGGAUCGGUAGUCUGCGUAAUCCUUUCACCACGGAGUUUGCAACUAUGGUGGGUUGUUUGCGGCAGAAGAAUUUGAUUCAGCUUCAUGGGUGGUGUUGUGAGGGUAAUGCGUUAGUCCUGGUGUACGAAUACAUUGCCCAACGGAAGUCUCAACAAAGUUCUCCACAAAAGCUUCAAUUCAGCAGUUGUCCUAUCCUGGAAGCAAAGACUUGAUAUAGUUCUCGCAGUCGCUUCUGCUCUUGCAUAUCUUCACGAGGAGUGUGAGAGGCAAAUAAUUCAGAGAUGUUAAAACUUGCAACAUAAUGCUCAAUGCAGAUUUUAACUCCAAACUAGGGGAUUUUGGUCUAGCAGAAGUGUAUUGAUCACAGUUCCAUCAUUGCAAGAGAAGCAACUAUACCAGCUGGAACAAUGGGAUAUCUUGCUCCAGAAGACGUUUAUUCAGGUGUUCCAACAGUUAAAACUGAUGUUUACAACUUUGGUGUGGUGGUGUUAGAGGUGGCAACGGGAAGAAAGCCGGUGGAGGAUGAUGGAACAGUGGUUGCUGAUUGGGUUUGGAGCAUGUGGGAAAAUGGAAAACUGAUUGAAGUUGCUGAUCUGAGGUAUAUGGGGAAGUUUGAUAUGGAAGAAAUGGAGAGGAUGCUAAUGACUGUACUUGCUUUUGUGCACCCAAACCAUGUGAAGAGGGCAACGGUGAAGGAAGCUGCAAGGAUUCUUAAAGGCAAAACCCCUCUUCCUCUGCUGCCACCAAGAAAACCAAGGGUAAGCCUUCGCCCCGUUUUUCCUGAUGACUGAAGAAAUCACAUUUUGCUGUGGUGUUUGGCCAAGUCUCGAACUUGAUGAUGUACAAUAUACUGAUUUACGGGUUUGUCUGGUUUUUGCGGAAGGACCCUUUGGAAACUGAACAGAAAAGGUAAUGCUGUUUCUGGACCGCACCACCAGUUUCCAUUAGUUACAAAAACAAACUGAAACAAGUCAAUUCUUCCUUUCUAUAAAAAUUUGAAAUAUAAGUCCCUGAUGUUAACAUUAAAGGUGUUUUCAGAAAAUGAACCUCAAGAUUAGCAAUGACAUCAAGCAAGAUAAAUCACAAGGAAGAAACAUAGAGGCCAACUCCACGGCGCUAGGAUAGUACUCCUCGUACUUCAAGUCCAGCUCCUCCAAUUCCUCCCAAGCUUAUGAUGGGGACUGGUUUUACAGUGAACUGAAAUGAAAUUAAAAAAUGAAAAACUCUUUGUUAGUGUUAGAUUUCUGGAUUAUAAUAUUUUAGAUUUUGUAAGGAAGAAGAAUUUGGAAUUGGAUUUUUGGGUUUUGGAUUUUGGAUUUUCUGGCAAGAGCAGAAUUGCAGAGAGAAUUUCAGAUGAAAUGACACUUUUUUCAUUCACACAAUGAGGGUGGCCUGUCACCAGUCAACAAGAUAUAAUCCUAACUAUCCAAAUAAGUCAUCCUAUGAGAUGCUUACACAUGGUAUGAGCCAUGGCUUCUUCAAAUAAGACAACUAUAAAACUAAUGGUACACAUGGACAAUGAUCCGAUGGUCCACAUUACAAGCUCAAUAUCAAAUUCUAUAUCAAUCUUCUUAAGGAAUUAUUGUUGACACUCUAAAAAUCUCAUUUUACAUUCUAAACUUUCUAUAAUUAAAAAAAAUACACUUGUGAAGAGUAUAAAAUGAGAUAUUUGAAAUGCUAAUAACAGUUCUCUCUUCUUAAUGCAAUCAGCAAAAGUGUUUAUUCAUCAACAUUCUUAUCCACUCGCCUUUCAAUAAAUAUGGUCAUCUUGAUAUAUAUAGCUUGUGAGAUUUGAGUCAAUUGACUAAAAUAUUUUUAAAAACAAUUAAGUUGAUGAGAUAAACCGACGGUGACUUACCUACAUUUAUUAUAAGAUGGUGACAAACAAUGCCUUUUGCGGAUUUGUUUUGUGUCGUUGAAGCUCACACUUCCAAAUCCACUUGGAGCUGCCUUGUCACAAUAUUCACGUGUUCGUUUCAGGAUUUUGUGUUUGGUUGAGUUCUUCCAAAUCUUGCUUGUAUAGCAAACGAGCCCCACACUUCUUCACACGAAUCCAGUAUACUUUUUCUCCUUCCCUACUAACACCAUCAAAGUAGGUUUCGAAUAAAAACUCAUCUUGACAACAAUCUCGACGAAGCAAAUAGAAUACCCAAAGGUGUUCUGACUCUAGAGACCUUAUUUUUUUGGUCCAAAUCCUAGGGCCAUCCAUAUAAGAAAAACACCGAAUUUCGAAAUAAUCAUAGAGAUGAAGACCAGCUAGAAUGACCCAGUUUGGCGUAAGAUCUUGAAAAAGAACACAAAAGGCAAUCCCCAGCCAGUUGGUACAUGAUGGUGGAGGAAGCUCCACAUUUACUGAAUGUCCCACACUCUGAAUACUGAACCACUUUGGAAUUUCACUUCCAGGGCAUAACAUACCUCUCAUAAAAUUUGAGAUUCCCUGUAGUAGAAGAAAUAUCAAUUAUUUAGAGAGAGAGAGAGAGAGAGAGAGAGGGAGAGAUAGAAGAUCAAUUAUUUAGAGAGGAGGGGGGGGAGAGUACCUCUUGAUCAGUGGCAAAUUUUAGAAUCCUUGAGAGUAUUGUAUUAAUCCAGCCUUCAUUUGGAACCAAUGCAAUGCAAUUCAGGCAAGUGAAAUUAAAAUCAUACAAAUUGGCGAAUCUGCUAUUCAACUUGGAUGGAUCUGACAAACUUCGCAAGGAAGUACAAUUGUCUACAUCUACAUGUAAUUUGCUAUUAGAUGGAAGAGGUGGCAAUUUUUGAAGGCUUUUGCACCUCUCCAGAUCAAGAUACGAAAGCUUAGAAAGGCGUCUAAUGCUUUCAGGUAGACUGACGAAAUUAUUUCCACUAAGAUCCAAUCUUUCGAGAAAGGACAAGCAGCCAAUAUCAUCGGGGAUAUCUCCUUCACGGAGUUUACAAUCUUUUAGAGAUAACUCUGUUAACUCUGUCAAAGAGCAUAAACUAUUUAGAGAAGACAACACCAAAUCCAAACAAGGAGGAUCAGGACGACUCUUUCCAAGUCCUAGUAAGCGGAGAAGGCCCCACCCCUCCCUUGCUUUAGCAUCCGAUCCGUUACAUAAGUUAUCCAUGUCUCUUGGGAGUUUGUCAAUUUUUGAGCAUCCUUGCAUUCGGAGUCUUCUAAGAGACUUCAAAUUACAAAUAGUCGUUGGAAGCUUCAAGAGAUAUGAGCAACCAACUAGACACAACUCCUGAAGGCCAACCAAAUGUCCAAUUGAUGAAGCUAUUUUCUCUAUCGGAGUCGCACUUAAGUCAAUCGAGGACACAUUCUUCAUCUGCUCCCCAAAUUCUGGAAUCUUUUUCACAUCUGAGUUGCUAAGACUUAAAGGUUCCAGAGAAUCCAUUUUAAGCACACUUGGGAGGCUCUCAAGUUUUGAGCAGCAUUCAAAAUUCAAAAUUCAAAAGUUCAAGUUUUUUAAGAUGUGCAAUAGACGGGUGUAUCUCAACUAAAUUGAAACAACCUCGAAGAUUCAACUUCACAAGAUUUGGAACACCACUGAAAUCCGGGGUACUCUUCAAUUUACCUGAGUUGCUAAGAUCGAUCCAUCUUAAGUUGGGCAAGUCCUGUACAACAUCGAUAAGAUUCAGAUCAUAUAAAUAAAUAAAUAAAUGAUAAUUUUGUAUAUUAAAUAGCAUUUAUUCAAGGAUGAAUAAUAAUUAAGUACUCACUAGUGAGUACUCUAUAUGCUCAUUUUUGUUUUGGUUCGUGUUCUUUAUUUUUAAAGCCAAAGAAAAAUUAAAUAGCAUGUCCAUUAUUUUUGAAAAUAAUAAAAUAUACUUGUCCAAAAAGUGAGUACUGAUUAGUCACUACCCAAGUGGUAUCCUUUUAUUCAAAACUACUCUCAUCACUUAAUUUUUUUUAAUGGUAAAAAUACUACUCUUACCACUUUUCCCUCCCAUAACCGAACAAGACUGCUUCCAUACAUGUGAAGUUCAGUAAGGUGGCGCAUGUGAAAGUUGGUUGGAAGAAAAUUAGAAGGAUAUUGAAACCACCAUAUAUAUCUCAAUGAACACGGAAGAAAUUUAGGGCCUGAAGAAAAGAUCGAAUUCAAAUUAUCGACUCUCAAAAUCCUCAGUCUAUCCAUCUUAGAGAAGGCUUCCCAAUUCCACUCGACCACUUCUGAUCUAGGCAAGGUUAAUGAUAUGACUUCAAUUGCACUCAAAUCCUGACAAUUAAGGAAAAAGGACAAAUUAAUUUCACAUUCAAGUAUAAUAGUGUCAAAAGUUCUUUCAAACUUGGUAUUUAACUUCUUACCGUAUUGGUCCUGAAUACAUGAGAAAUGUCAUCAUAGAGCCACAACCUACUGCGUAGACCAGGCUCUUUAGACUUGUGGCCAAUAAUUGUCAAUGCCAUUUCUUCUAUCAAAUCAUGCAUCCGUAUGCAUUUUUGGUGAUCUUGAUAGAGGAAAGAUCUCUCAAUUAGUACAUCUAUCACAAUAUGGCUAGAGAUUCCAAAAGAAUUAGAACUAUCUAGAAUUUCAAUUACUUGCUUCCUGUAAUACCCUUUGUAGAAACAUGCAACAUCGAGAAAAAUGCUCUUCUCCCACUCUUCUAGUCCAUCAUAACUUAUUUUAAGUUUAUCAAAAAUAGCUGGAUUAGGAAUUUGUGAUAGAUUAUCCCGUACACUAUGCCAAGCAUCUAGCCCUCUCUUAAACAAAGCCGACCCCAAAGUUUCAAGAGCUAAUGGAAGGCCUCCAGCAUGAUUAAUGAAAUACUUAGAUAGUUCCCAAAAAACUUCCUCGGGUUGGUCUUUUUUAAAGGCAUGCAGGCUAAAGAGCUUAAGUGCUUCAGCAUCAUUCAACCCCUCCACCUUAUAUGAUGUUGCAAUAUCAUGUUGGACUAGCAGACGCUGAUUCCUAGUUGUAACGAUAAUUCUACUCCCCAUACCAAACCAACCUUGAUUUCCAGCCAACACUUGGAGUUGCUUUAAUUCAUCCACGUCAUCAAGUACAAGAAGAACCUUUUUAUUGUGUAAGAACUUCUCAGUGAGAACACUUGCGCGCUCUUCAUCCCAAAUUUCUUCGGUCCUUUCCUUCAAGAGCGGGGAAAUAAGUCUUUUUGCAAGAUCAACUAUACCAUUUUUUGCACAAGCCUCUCUAACAUUGGCAAGAAAAAAAUGAACUUCAAAAUGAUGGCAGAUUUUAUCAUAAACUAGCUUAGCAAGGGUUGUCUUGCCUAUGCCACCCAUCCCCGUUAUCCCAAUAAAGCGAACAUCAUUGGCAUCAUGAGCUAAUAGCAAACUUAGUUGCUCGAGUGAAUAAUCAGUUCCAACUAACUUCCAUGAGGAAUCUGAUGGCAUGAAUGUAGCUUGCACUUUCCGCCAGACACUAUUGACGAUUUUUUCGAUAAGCUCUCUUUCAGAUCUACAAGGAAGAAAAGUAAAAUAAGCAAUCAAUGGAAGAUAAACAAAACAUUCGUACUUUUCAUCUCCCUGCUGGGAGUGGAGCUUUUGCAUUUGUGGCUCCUCUGUUUUACUCCUUGUUGUUAAUGAAGUCCAACUUUACCAAAAAAAAAAAAUAAUAAUAAUAAUAUGGGAAAUUAAUUGUCCGUGCAUGCUUACUUAAAAUUCUUCAAAUGCCACCCAGAAAAUUUGGAUAUAUUUUUCAAAUCAGCUCUCCACUGGAUCACCUUCUUUUUGUCUUCAGUAGUGAUGAACUUUUCUUCAUGAUCCGCGAAGGCUUUGGCAAAACAUCCCCGUUGGUUUCCAACGUCAGAUGGAUCUAUCUCAUAAAAGACCGGCAGAACUGAGUUCCUGCCUUCCAUGCAUUGAAGAAUAGUUGUGAGUUCGUCUAAGCACCAUUUGGAAGAAGCAUAGUUUGGUGAGAGAACAACAAUUGCUAUAUGCGAUUCUUUGAUCGCACAUGGGAGCUCAAGAGGAAUAUUUGUUCCUUCUUCAAGCUCUCGAUCGUCAAAGAAAGUUGUAAAUCCAUGGCACUUGCACAAUUCAUGGUAUAGAUGGGAUACAAAACCCUUGCGGGUGUCUACACCCCUGAAACUCAAAAACACAUCAUACUUCCAUCGAGGAGCUGAUUCACUUGAAUAAAAAGAUGCAGGGGCUCUUUGGGUGUUCAAAGUCAAUGCCAUCGGAAAACACAGUUGCUGUAAAUCGGGUACUGCAAACAAUAACUGAAUGAACAAGCAUAACGAUAGAAGAUCAAUGUUUUAAAAUUUAAAAAAAAAUGAAGUGAUAUUAAACAAUUAGCAAUACUCGCUCUAAAAAAUCCAUACUCUCGAGAACUCUAAAAAUUAAGUGAUAUUACUGUAAAUCUCAUACUCUCGAGUACUCUAAAAAUUCCAAACAAUUGGUAAUGGUCCCCAAAAAAAAAAUGGAGAAGCUAUAGUUAGAAACUAUUGAACAAUUAGCAAUACUCACUCACUCUCUCUUUUGUAUAAAGUGAAAUUAAGAGAGGAACUGGUUUUGAUUAAUUUCACUUUCAAGUUUUGAUCACACUAACCAACGGUUAAACUAUCUUUGUUUGAUCGCUUUGGUCAAGGAAAAGUACUAAAAAAAGAGCAAAACCAUUUAAUCAAUCUAAACUACAAGUUCAUUGCAUCAUAUUGGUUUCAUUUGACUGAUUUGAAUGUUCAUCGCAUAAGUAAAAAGAUAAACUUCAAUUAAAUGGGAAAAAUAAUCACUAAUUUAGUGAGAAAAUGGGUUCGGCAAACAAAUGAACAAGUGAAACAAAAAUGAGCAGUUAAAAAGAAAAUAGAAAGUUUAAAUCUUGUUUUCGUAAUUGAAAUUGUAUAUUAAGCAAAAGAGAUUAAGGACUCAGAGAAUUACCAGAAAAACAAAAUACAGGAUCAACACAAGCUUGCACAGGCAGAGAAAAGUGACAAAUGGCAAGGAAAGAAGCAGAAAAAUCGCACUGAAAAUUCUCACAACAAAGUUGUAGGAAUAGAGGAAAUUCACAGAGGUAGGAAAGGAAAUAAAUGGGAGGGAGAUGGACAAUUGAGUGCUUAUACUGGUAGUGGAGGUGGUGAGGACCACACGGUUCAGUGUAGGUCAGAUGAUGACUUAUUUCUUUGAUUAGUAUGACUGUUUACCUAAAGAGGAGUAAAAGAACCAAAAUUUUAAGGUGAUUUAUGGUAAAUUAUUUAACGGUUAAAAUAUUUAGAGUAUCUCAUACUCUCGAAUACUGUUAAAAUUCCAAACAAUUACUAAUGGUCCGAAAAUAAAAAAAACAGAGAAGCUAAGAAAUGGUUAAACGAUCUCUGUUUGAUCACUUCAACCGAUGCUUACUGUUGGAUUUAGUGGCUCAUUCCGAUUGGGCUGUUUAUUUUGGCUCAAGCCAAUUGAUUGGCUGUUUUAAUAGCCCCAUGUGAAAGCCAUGUGACAACUAAGUUAAAGGCAGAAAGCAGCCAAUAUUAGAAGGCAUUGGAUGCUUUUCUUUUGGUUCCCAUGACCAAAAAGAAAGAGAUAGGCAACCUAUGCCUUUCGGUUCCUAAAAACAGAGAGAGGCAGGGUAAAAAAAACAAAAAAGGAGCAGCAUUAUAAGGCAUUGGAUGCUUUUCUUUUGGUUCCAAUUAGCAAAGAGAAAAAGAAAGGUUUUGGGCAAUUAUACAUUCAAGAUAUUGAUGCUACAUUUUAUGGUUUUUUGGAGAGAAGUAUUUUCAUCUUCUCCAUUUAUUCUUUAUUUGAGAGAACCAUUAGGUGUAUUUGGGAUAUGGGGUUUGAGAGUUAAAACUCUAUUUGUAAUUUUCACUAAUUAUUAGUGAAAUUUCCUGACCAUUUUUGCACUGAAGGUAGGCUUAUGCCAAAUCAAUAUAAAUCUUUGUGUUACUUUGAAUUGUUUGUUUUGUCAUUUUUUUUCGUAUUAAUUUAUUGAUUUCAUAUUUGACGCACAACACUUACUACUAAAAAAAUGAGCUAAACCAUUUAAUCAAAUUAAACUACGAGUCCAGUGCAUGAAACUGCUCAUAUUGGUUUCAUUUGACUGAUUUGAAUGUUUCAUCACAGAAGGAUUAAACUUGGAUUAAAAGGAAGAGCAAAAACUAAUUUAGUGAGAACAUCAGCAAACAAACAUUGACAUCCAGUAUCAAGCCAAAGAUAAGUUGGAAGGAUCUAGCAAGCAGCUCCAUCAGCCAACAUUUCUAAUCAACACCGUCACACAAGCCAUCAAGUAACAAAACAAAUUAAACUCUCAAGUCUCAACAGAAAAUGUUAUAUGUGAGAAAGAAAGAAUGAAUUACAUGAAAUGAAAACGUUAAGACAACGGUGUAAUCAACAUAUUACGUAUUGUCACGCCACAAAGUUAAAAUAUCUCUCAAACAAGCAACAUGGAAAUCGCAGGAGCUGUCCACUUUCCAAUACUCGUUGAAGAGAAAAAGCUGAAAGGAACACGUUAACACAUGGACUCCUAAGGAAGACUGACUGUGAUUUCCAAUACUCAUUCCAAAGUGAAAGGACAAGUUUUUUCCACACAAAAAUUUUCAUAAGGAUUUGACGUAACCGAGGAAUGCCGGCUGUCGACUACCUGAUCGGUACACAAAAUGGUACACCACGUGUCACUAUAUAAAUGGUAGAAUAUAUAUGCUAAAAAGUUAAUAACUUAAAAAAUAAAAUUUUCCACUUCUAUAAAAACACAUGCUGUACCGCUUAUGUUAUUGUCACAAUGACAAAUUUCUCGUUCACGAGGUUUACAAUCUUCACGAAGCAGAUAAAUUACUCAAAGGUGCUCUGACACAAGAGACUCUAUUUCGGUUUUUAAUUUUCAAAGAAAACUUGUUUGACAACUCCUAAUUUUUAGUUUUUAAAGAAAUGAAAACUAAAAACUGGUUUCUUGAGCUUUCAAAAUUUAUAUUUUCGGUUUUUAAUUUUAGUUUCUAAUCAACACCAUGACACAAGCCAUCAAGUAACAAAACCAAUAAAAAGUCAACUGAAAACGUUAUAUGUUAAAAAGAACAAUGAAUUACAUGAAACGAGAAUGCCAAAGUAGCCGUGGUCAACCUAUUGCGUGUUGUCACGCCACAAAAUUAAAAUAUACAAUGUGAGGUGGCAACAAAUUUGAGCCCAACCGCUGUAAUGUUUCCGUGCAAUGUAAAUCCCCCUCAAAGAAGCAAAGGAAAUCCUCAUGCAAGAGCUCUCUAGUUUCCAAUACUCGUUCAAGAGGAAAAGCUGAAAGGACAAGUAUUUUCCACAAAACAAGUGGAAGACCGACAAUGGGAAAUUUCCAAGAAACAAAGAUUUUUUAGUAAGUUCCCAACUUUCUUCUAAUAAAAGAUAUUCAUGUCUCUUUGUUUGUUCAGUGAUGCCAAAGCCACCUACUUAUCUUAUUUCUUCACUUAUUUUCAAAUACUCGUUCCAAAGUAUUUUCCACAAAAAAAAAAAGUGGAAGACUGACAAUGAGAAAGUUACCUUGCUGGGACACGUUAUCUUUCUUUGCCUUUUCUUUAAGAGGAAACUAUUUAUGGCACCCACCAUGAAACUUCUAUAUAGGUUUUUUCACACAUCUUUUUGUUAGGUCCGCACUUCUCCAAAGCUUUGGGCCACACAUCUGUUCUAUUAAUCAGACCUGGAAAAAGCAGCAACGGUAGCAAUUCUGCCUCCUCACGUACUUUAGGACAGGCUAAGCUAGAAAGAUGGGUUACAAGUCCACUUGCAAUACUGAGUCUUUGUUGAAUAUGCUGCGACUUUCCCUGUCAUUUAGACAACCCAUCUCACAGUUGCACCCUGCGCUAAAUAUAUCACCCCCAGCAAUUACCAAUAUCAAAUCUGAUAAAACCAUUCAGCCAACUGAGAAGUCUUCAAUGCAAGCUGCAAUGUAAGAGUUGAGUUGAAAUGGUCCAUACAUCAAAGAAAAUGAGCAUUCGUAAGAAUCAUGUAACCUAGGCUAAGUUCCAUGGACUCUUAAGGUCUCUCAUCCAAACAUAGUAUAAACACUGGAUUUGGAUGAUGGUGUUUAGAGUUCCAUGAAACCUAGGCUACACCUUUCAGAAACGCACUACAAAAAAACAAAUAGAUAGAAGGACUUCAAAAUGACUAGAUGCAAAACAUUUGAGAGAACUUUCAAAUGACACCUUAAAAGUCCUUUGUUGCGUGUCUUUCAACGGAUCGAGGCGUUUUCAGGCCACUUCCCGAUCGAAUUGGACUUUGGCCUAGGUAUGAAAAUUACUCCCUUCAUUGAGAUCUACAUGCUUAUAAAAUUUGGUAAUUUUUGGAGUUAGGUAAAUUUUCCAGCAAGUCAAGACGACCUGCCGUCGCUUACGACGGCACGUGGUGGCGACGUGUGGCCUGAGGAACCACUUGAUCCUUCUAAGCUAUAUUUGAUACCCUAGUUCCAUAUUUGACAUCCGAUUAGUGAAAUUUUAUCAUUUGAACCUAGUUUCAUUAAGGAUGAUCACUUGACCAUUGUGGCGAACGAUGAUCCAACCGUUAAAUCGUUACCAAACUAUAAUAUGUUAUUUUACAUAAUAUUUGAGGACAUUAGGAACUGACGGAUCGGGAAUCCACAUACAGAUCUUCUCGAAUUAAAUUUCUAAGUUUGUAAAACCAAACAUCGGCCGCCACCUAAUUUUAGCAAUUGGUGGAGAUUCGACCGUUGGAUCAUUUUGAAAUUUUAGGAUUUUGUUCUAGAUGAAUAAUGAGACUCUCAGGAAGUUAAGGAUCGGAAAUCCGAUGGACGGAUCUUCCUGACUGAAUUACUUGGGUUGUCUUUGAUCAAAACGUUCAUAACCGUUCUUAAGUUCUAAAAUUGGUACUACUAAAUACUAAGUAGAGUCUAGUGGGCCUAUCUUGGUUAGUGAGCUAUUCCAGUUAAUGCUUACCUCAGUUUACGUGAUUGGAACGCCUUAUUGUGACAUGCAUAUGUGUAUUUAAAUUAUUGAUGAUAUGAAUGAUGUGUAUGAUUAUCUUUAUGACGAUGUGAACCUAGAAUCUUAUUAGAAGUAUUAUGUAGAACUUUUAUGCUUGUAUGACAAGAUAGUUAUUAGUCAAGAGAAGUUGAUAAUGCAGGUGCCCACCUCGUAAAUCACAGAGAUUGAGGUAGGGAUGGAUUGUGUGUUAAACUAAUUGCACUAGAUAGCAGUGGUACUUGGAGGUCCUGCUUGGUAUAUAUGCGAUAGGGGACCAUAUGUAUUUCAGGGGUGAUCAUGUUUGGUAUAUCUGUGAUGGAUGAUCACCGCUUGCACAAUUAGACUAUGCUUAUGGUCUUGCUUGGUUUAUCUGAAAUGGGUGAUCAUGAUUGGUAUAUCCGUAAUAGGUGAUCACUACCUAGAGUUAGGAUGUGGUCUUGCUUGGUAUAUCCGCGAUAGGGGGACCACACGUUAGACUAUGCCUAUGGUUUUGCUUGGUUUAUCCGCAAUGGGAGACCAUACGCAUUCUAGGAGUGAUCAUGCUUGGUAUAUCCACGAUGGGUGAUCAUUGCCUGCACAUUUAAAUUAUGCCUAUGGUUCAACUUGGUAUAUCUGCAAUGGGGGACCAUAUGCAUACUAGGGGUGAUGAUGAUUAGUUGUACUUGGUAUGUUUCGAUAGGCGGCCUUAUUUUAGUUGGAUUCUGUUGAGAGGUCUGAAAUCCUUACUCUUGCUUAUUUCCAUAAGGUUAGUCCGGCCUUAGAUUAGAGUGAAUAGUAAUUGCUCACCGUAGGCAUCAUGUUUAUAAAUUAGAUUUACCAUGUUGUUAUUUAUAAUCUAAGUGGGGAAUUGUAUAGACUUCUUUUAUUAAAUUUUGUGAGGUGAUCAUGAUCUUAUUGAUUGAUUAAUGUAAUUAAAUGCUAAUAUCAUGCCUCUUUGAUUCAUGAAAUUGAUUAAUUGGAGUGAUUGUGGAAUGACGUUGGAUAUGAUUUUUAUUAAUAUGAAUAGAUUAGUUGAUCAAUGUGACUGGAGGAUAAUGUGCUUUUUUUAUUCUUUGAUAUGUUACAUGCUAUGAAUUGCGAUUUUAUGUGAAAAACAUAAUGAUUUAUCUGAUGAAUGGAAUGGAAAUCUUGAAUAUCUUGUGGGCUGUUAUGUAGUCUUGAAUUUAGAAAUUCAUGCUUGUCGAGUUCCAAUGUUUGAUGGAGGAAUGCUAUGUUUUUUAGUUAGAAGGUACGAAGUUAAGUGUCAAGUGUAGUGAAUGGUGAACUACAAAUGACUUGAUCCUAUAUAGGGUAUGUAGGCAAUCUAACGAGGAGGUUAGAUGGAGCCAUAAAGUAUACAAAAAAAUUACUACGCAAUUCAAAUCCUGAGUUGUGCUUUGCUCAUAUCCCGAAGAUGGGGUAUGUUAGAUGUACGAGUUUUUGGUGUCGUCACGUGUUGAUCCUGGACGUAUGUCGGGAUCGAGGUGUGACGUUGAGUGUGCCAUUACUAUCUAAAACCAGCAUACUAAAAGUUAUUCGGGCAUGAAUAAACCGGUUACUUGCACCCCUAGUUACCUGAACUUCUUCGAUUAAGGGAUUGUUUAUAGAGGGGUUAAGUUCACAAAAAGUUCUUUUCUUUGCCUUGGGAUCAUAGACUUUUGGUUAAUGUAAUAUGCCCUUUUAACAUGAAUUAAGAACAAAGGAAAAGAUUGAUUUGUUGAAGUUAUUGAGCCGAAGCAAAGUAAAGCAAAUGUAAAGAACGUUAAAUGAUAACUUUGGAAACUAAAAUACUAGUAAGUAAAUGAUGGAAAUAACUUGUAAUGAAAGUGCAAGGUAUUUAAAGGCAGAAAUUAACACAACAAUGCAUAAAUAUUAAAGGUUCGGGCACGUUUCAACAUCUUCUGGCAUUGUUAGUUCCUUGCCGGGCACACCUUCUCCAAUUUAAAAGGUAAAAGCUUCAAAACAAUAACAAUUGAAAUCGAUACCACAAAAAGAAUGCAACAGAGCUAAAACUAAAACGAAAAGAUGACUUUGUCUACAAAAGGAAUGUAAAGAAAGUGAUAGAGCUUUUAGGAGCCUUUUAUGGGAGUUGAUUUGAAUGUCCUUCUUAUCUGGUCCUACCGCCGCUUUUAUAGAGUUUACUUCUCGAUGAAUUAAGCUUUUAACUCCUUGAUGCAUCCCUUUUCUUGCCAAGUGGUUGAUGAGACUGCUAGUAGAGGGUGAAUUCUCACUUGAUCCCCUUGAAAUGACAAGUGUUUGCCCCUAAAAGUGCUUUCCCGUCUGAAAUAUCUUCUCUGUAACACCCCAUAGUCUGAUUAUUCUUAUAGGUUUGUCGCCCAUAGCUACCAUGUCAUAUUAAUAUUUAAAUCUUGGGGCGAGCUAUUGUCCACAUCUCCUGAAAUUAAAGACCCAAUAAGUUCUCUAAGGUUUUACGUGGGUUUGGGUCGCGACGCAAGCCCAAUGUCCAUUUUGGGUUCAAACAGAACAACUUAGAAGAUAUAGGGAAAACAAUGAGAGGAAAAAUCUAAAUAACAAAGGUGAAAACAGAGUAAAAUCCGGAUCUCAAAGAGCUUUGUAUUUUUUUUUUAAUUUAAAAGAGGAAAUUAGAAGCCACUUAGUAUUACGAUUUAGUGGUAUCAGUUAUAUGUAACUAAGAAGAUAUAGUGAAAGCAAUGAGAGGGAAAAUCUAAAUGAAAAAGGUGAAAACAAAGUAAAAUGCGGAACUCAAAGAGCUUUGUAUUUUUUUAAAUCAAAAGAGGAAAUUAGAAGUCAUUUAGUAUUACGGCCUAAUGGUAUCAGUUAUAAGUAAGAAGUCUUAGAUUCAAUUCUCGUCAAAAGCAAAUUUGAGUAACAUUAUUAUAGUUAACCCAGUGUAAGGCUUAGCCCACCUCCCUCUAAUGUGAAUAAUAUCGUUCGUUUGUUAUUAAAAAAAAGAAAAAAAAAGAGGAAAUUAGAAAAUUUAUUUUGUGGGAAAAAAAAUUAAAAAAAAAAAAGAAAAAAGGGAAAAAAGAAAUUGAUCUAAAAACAUCUUCAAAGGAGAUUUUAAAUUUUAAACAUAAAAUAUAAAUUUGAAAGCAUAAAUGACAUUUUAAUUUAAAAAAAAUAUUCUCAAUCUCAUAUGUCAAAUCAAACUAUUAUUUAUUACGUUAAUUAAAUAUUUUUAAAAUAAUAAUAAUAACUAUUUUUUAAUCAAUUAAAAAUAAAUUUGGGUUAGGGUCAAUUAAAUAAUAUUCACGCACACUGUGUGUAUGGCAUAUGGAAGUACUAAUUCUAAUUUACUGUUAAGAGAGAGCCCGUUGAAUUCCUAAUUACCGUUAGUGAGAGGGCAGCUUGGGUCAGUUGGUGCUUCUCAAAACUGCUUCCGCAAAGAAGCAAUGGGAAGAUUUGAAUGAAACUUUCAAAAGGCCGAAAUUACCCCCCAGAAUUUACAAAUUAUAACACUACCCUAACUCGGCUUUCUUUGGCUUCUUGGAGCAAACGGUCCUAGAAUUUGCUCAAUAAUUUAUCAUAUAUGACCGAAACUUAGUCUCGAAUUUCACAAAUGUCAGUUUUUUUUUAUAUAAAAAAAUAUUAAUUAUAGCAAAAAAAACACACUUGAAUAAACUUAAAUACCGUAAAAAUUAACUCUCAGUUACAAUAUACCUGAAGUUCUUAGAUAUUAGAGUCAAUUUUUAACCUAACUCACAAGGAAAGUCUCUACACCAUGGAAAUGUCAAAAACACUAACCAAUAUCAGUCAGCGCCAAAUUUUACUUCGUUCAUGGAGGAUGAAAAAAAAAAUAGGACAGCAAUCCCCCAACAUGGUAUGGGUACGUACUUUUGACCAAAUUAGGGUUGUAAUCCCCCCCAACUUAGGUAAAUCAACAUAUGUCGGUCAGAGGAGUUUAAUGGAACUCUUUGGCUUGCUUUCACCAAUGAUUUCUUUUCAUUGCAGAAAUUGUUAAUAUUUUCUUAAUUUCCUUUUCCACCCACUUGAAUCAACUUCAUGAAAUCUAAUUUUUGACGAUCACUAGAAUUCAAUUGUUAUGUAUGUGAUAUCGGCAGGGUUAGAUCAAACAGAGCUUUACUUUUUCGCUAAGAUCAAAUAGAAUUGAUUUUUUUCUGAUUUGCAAUGCCCUUUUAUUAAUGGCAGAACUGAUUCUAUUGUUGAAACUCCUUUGGCUAAAGUGUUGUAAUGAGCAGCCACAGAUACGACACUAUCUUCAAGUGAUGAUGAUCUUUACCACCUUAUUUAGUCAUUCUGGAGAAAAUGUAUUCGAAAAAAAUAAAAAACAAAAAGGAUGAGGUGAAAUGGCCAGCUUAAUAAUUUUCUUCCCUUUUUUUUGAAGCGCAUCUGGGAAACCUAUUGAAAAUUUGGGUAAAUUUACAAACAAGAAACACUAAUGCAACUUGGCACAAAUAGCAGUAUUUCAAAACAAAAGCGGAAUUUCUCACUACAAUUGAAUGUCUUCAGAGUUUUAGCAAUUAAUUAGGUCACUAAAUUAAUUGAGCUAUUUUCACUGAGUUUCUAUGAAUUAUAAAUUAAUCGGAUCACUAUAAAAUUACAAAAUGAGCCACCGUGCCCCUCAGAUAGUGUUAUUUGAGAUAGAAUCUAUUAUACUUUGAUUCGUGAAGACAACAAAAUGACGAAAUGACGGAAUGUGUGAAUUGAAAAUGAAUUGAACACAUAACUCAUUAUCUCUUAGUUCAAGAAGAGACAUGAAAACCUUACAACCGUAGAGAAGAAAAAUAAUCGUACGGGACAAAGACAAUACACAAUUAUAGAUAUUUCAGUAAUCAAUUCAAAACAUAAAUCUCAUUCUACUUACAGUCCUUUUGAAUCAUGUGCCCUGCUUCAGUUGCCUUACCAAACAGGAUAAAAGUCUUAUCCAAGGCAAUCCCUCCUAAUCUGUGUAACAAACGGGUCCAAAAUACUCCAUCCAAGUUCUACCCACCACACAAACAAGCAGGCCCAGUUCUUGUGCGACAUAGCAAACUCUUAACUUGGGACCUAAAAUUGGGUUUUCGUCGAUCAAUCAAAUGGAGCGAUUUUCCCUCUCAUAUCGCUCCGUCUCCCAGUCCCUCUCUCUCAUUCAUUCGACUGGUUGAAGCUUUCAAGUAUCAAGAUUGGCAGAAGCAUCCGCAGAAAUCCAGAGGGGAAGACAAUCCUGGUACUACUUUAUCACUGUUUCUCUGUAAUUUUCCCGAGAAAGUUUACGCCUUUCAUUUUCCCGAGAAAGUUUCUGCAUUUGGGUUUACAGCAAUGCAUUCAUCUCGUCCAUUUCUCUUCUGGGUCCUUUUCUUUUUCGUCUCCAACCUCAGUUUCCCUUCGCUUUCUGUCCCGUUCUUGCCUGCGACGAACAAUAACCUCACCCUCUUCGGCGACGCUUCCAUCACCAACAACGCGAUUAGUCUCACUCAAGAACUCACCACCUGCCCCUCCUCUUCCCCUUCUGCUUCUUCUGGGGUUGGAAGAGCAUUUUACGCCUACCCAAUUCGGUUUCUUGACUCGAAAACCAACGCCACUGCCUCUUUCUUGUGCCGAUUCUCUUUCUCAAUCACCCCAAGUUCCCCAUUGUGUUCUUCUGGAGAUGGCAUUGCGUUUGUGAUCAUCCCCGAUGUCGAUUCUCUGGGAUCAUCCAGAGGGGGGUAUAUGGGACUUCCGGAGCCAUCCUCAGUGUCGAAAGAAUCGUUCUUCGCUGUGGAAUUCGAUACUAGGUUUGAUCCUAUGGUUGGUGACAUCAAUGGGAACCACAUUGGUGUUGAUUUGAACACAGUUGUGUCUGUUGCCUGUGUUGAUGUUGUUUCAAGAGGGAUUGAUUUGACAAGUGGGAGGGAGAUUACUGCUUGGAUUGAGUACAGGGAUGCUGUCAAGAUGAUUCGGGUUUGGGUCGGAUACUCGUCAACUAGGCCUCCAACGCCUGUUCUUGUUGCUCAGAUUGACCUCUCCAACCAGUUCAAGGAGUUCAUGCAUGUCGGUUUCUCGGCCUCGAAUGGGCAGGGCUCUUCAGUUCACGUUGUUGACAGGUGGAGAUUCAAGACUUUCGGGUCUCUUCCACCUGGGAAUCCUACAGAUACCUUUGAAGAAGGGGACUGCUUCAUGUGCUCUUCACCAGAAGAUUCAAGUACCAAAAGCAGCCCGGAAAAUCGUUCCCAUGAAAGAAAAACAAAGAUUGUGGAGAUGGCUCUUGGGUUGGGAGGGUUAGCUGCAUUUGUUGUCUCCAUAAUCGCAUUUGUUUUUGUCAUUUGUUUUGUGUGUGUGAAGAAGAGAAUGGUCACUGCCAGAGGGAGCAGAGAGGGCAAAACUUGUAGAGUUGAGGCGAAUAAAGUUCCGACGAGUUUGUCUCUUGCAGAGAUAAGAUCGGCGACAAUGGGGUUUAACCGACACAGGGUUGUCGGGGAAGGGGCAUCAGCUAAGGUUUAUAAAGGGUCUCUGUCCUCUGGUGGAGAAGUGGCAGUGAAAAGGUUUGAGAGGGUUGAUGGGAUCGGUAGUCUGCGUAAUCCUUUUACUACGGAGUUUGCAACUAUGGUGGGUUGUUUGCGGCACAAGAAUCUGAUCCAGCUUCAUGGGUGGUGCUGUGAGGGUAAUGAGUUGGUCCUGGUGUACGAGUACAUGCCCAACGGAAGCCUCAACAAAGUUCUUCACAAAAGCUUCAAUUCAGCAGUUGUUCUGUCCUGGAAGCAAAGACUUAAUAUAGUUCUUGGAGUCGCUUCUGCUCUUGCAUAUCUUCACGAGGAGUGUGAGAGGCAAAUAAUUCACAGAGAUGUCAAAACUUGCAACAUAAUGCUCGAU
This 35350-nucleotide long non-coding RNA is filed under the name Malus domestica (apple). Its description in RNAcentral is "long non-coding RNA (MDOM_LNC008886)". Lineage: Eukaryota; Viridiplantae; Streptophyta; Magnoliopsida; Rosales; Rosaceae. The record is from RNAcentral.